UCCGGUAUGGUGUAACGGCUAACAUUGCCGCCUUUCAUGCCUACGGACGCGGCAGCUCGGGGUUCGAUUCCCCGUACCGGAA
RNAcentral lists this transfer RNA (82 nucleotides) under Hypsizygus marmoreus. It matches the Rfam family "tRNA". From Rfam's summary of the family: Transfer RNA (tRNA) molecules are approximately 80 nucleotides in length. The record is from Rfam by way of RNAcentral. Lineage: Eukaryota; Fungi; Basidiomycota; Agaricomycetes; Agaricales; Lyophyllaceae.